This 113-nucleotide non-coding RNA is filed under the name Caenorhabditis remanei. RNAcentral's name for it is "let-7 stem-loop (crm-let-7)". Its record names the gene crm-let-7. The stretch from base 22 to 93 matches the Rfam family "let-7 microRNA precursor family". From Rfam's summary of the family: This family represents the microRNAs (miRNA) let-7 and mir-98. let-7 was identified from a study of developmental timing in C. elegans, and was later shown to be part of a much larger class of non-coding RNAs termed miRNAs. The extents of the hairpin precursors are not generally known and are estimated based on hairpin prediction. The products are thought to have regulatory roles through complementarity to mRNA. The record is from miRBase by way of RNAcentral. Lineage: Eukaryota; Metazoa; Nematoda; Chromadorea; Rhabditida; Rhabditidae. RNAcentral also lists the same sequence under 1 other name.
GCGGCCGGUCAACACUGUGCGUCUGGUGAGGUAGUAGGUUGUAUAGUUUAGAAUCUUACCUUGGUGAACUAUGCAAGUUUCUACCUCACCAGAUACAGAAUCUUCUCAGCUGC